GAUUAACGCUGGCGGCAUGCCUAAUACAUGCAAGUCGAACGGAAGCAGCAAUGCUUUAGUGGCGAACGGGUGAGUAACACGUAGGGAACCUACCUAUACGACGAGGAUAACUACUGGAAACGGUAGCUAAAACUGGAUAGGAUCAAUUGAGGCAUCUUGAUUGAUUUAAAGAUCCUUCGGGAUUACGUAGAGAUGGCCCUGCGGCGCAUUAGCUAGUUGGUGAGGUAACGGCCCACCAAGGCGACGAUGCGUAGCUGACGCUGAGAGGCUAAACAGCCACACUGGGACUGAGACACGGCCCAGACUCCUACGGGAGGCAGCAGUAGGGAAUUUUCGGCAAUGGGGGAAACCCUGACCGAGCAAUGCCGCGUGAACGAUGAAGGUCUUCGGAUUGUAAAGUUCUGUGAUUGGGGAAGAAUGGUAUUCUUAGGGAAUGAGGAGUACAUGACGGUACCCGAUUAGAAAGCCCCGGCUAACUAUGUGCCAGCAGCCGCGGUAAUU
RNAcentral lists this ribosomal RNA (501 nucleotides) under uncultured bacterium. RNAcentral's name for it is "bacterial SSU rRNA". It matches the Rfam family "Bacterial small subunit ribosomal RNA", at positions 28 to 525 of the family's 1533-position model. The record is from RNAcentral.